AGCAGCCGCGGUAAUUCCAGCUCCAAUAGCGUAUAUUAAAGUUGUUGCAGUUAAAAAGCUCGUAGUUGAAUUUCAGGCCUGGCUGGACGGUCCGCCCUUCGGGUGAGUACUGUCUGUGGUCGGGUCCUACCUUCUGGCGAAGCGUCAUGGCCCUAACCGGCCGUGGCGGGGAACCAGGACUUUUACUGUGAAAAAAUUAGAGUGUUCAAAGCAGGCAAUCGCUUGGAUACAUUAGCAUGGAAUAAUGGAAUAGGACAAUGGUUCUAUUUGUUGGUUUCUAGGACCGUUGUAAUGAUUAAUAGGGAUAGUUGGGGGCAUUAGUAUUCAAUUGUCAGAGGUGAAAUUCUUGGAUUUAUUGAAGACUAACUACUGCGAAAGCAUUUGCCAAGGAUGUUUUCAUUAAUCAAGAACGAAUGUUAGGGAUCGAAGACGAUCAGAUACCGUCGUAGUCUUAACCAUAAACUAUGCCGACUAGGAAUCGGGCGAUGUUGACAAAUGACGCGCUCGGCA
This 510-nucleotide ribosomal RNA is filed under the name uncultured Paraglomeraceae. RNAcentral describes it as "SSU rRNA". It matches the Rfam family "Eukaryotic small subunit ribosomal RNA", at positions 569 to 1085 of the family's 1831-position model. The record is from RNAcentral. Lineage: Eukaryota; Fungi; Glomeromycota; Glomeromycetes; Paraglomerales.